Molecule: long non-coding RNA, 732 nt
Filed under: Homo sapiens (human)
Lineage: Eukaryota; Metazoa; Chordata; Mammalia; Primates; Hominidae
Description: HSALNT0141508
Source: RNAcentral
GUCAUUCUUCAAGGCAACAGAUGCAAGAAUGAGCUCAUGUCAAAUGAUAUUUUCUGAUUUUUUUCUCCAGAUGUGGGGAACGAAAUUGGAUCUUGUGCUUUUGGGUGCUAACUUUGAGCCCUCUUCCUUUACAUCUAAAUGACAAUUUGUGGAUCAAUGAGGAUGUGUCAACUAGCCAAGAUCGAGGACCUGGAGGGGUGCUCUGUGGAAACUGCUUUAAAAUCCUUCAGAGGGUGGGCACGGAGCUCUGGUUCUGGUAUGUUCACUGAAUCUGUAGCAGUGGGGAAACUUGCUGAGAUUUGGCAUUCAAGACCAAAGAGAUUUACCUAGGAUCUGUACCCUGUUGGCCAGAAUUAUUGCUACUGUUGUUCUUCAAUUAUGCUACUUUUUCACUUGGAAAGAGAUGGAAACUUGUAAGGCAGUGAAUCUAUCUUUACUCCUUUUCAGAUGGCUGAUUCUAAAGGCAGGUUUAGGUUCCUGCUAACCCUUCUGUUCUGUCCUGAUUGUCCGCCUUACUGAAGGUCUGUUUUCUACAGCUCACAAUAGUCGGGUAGAGUCCAGUGAUGCCAAGCCACAGAAAUGAGACCUUGGAGGGAGAAGCACUACAGGCCUUUGCUUCAGUUUCCAUAGAAAUGAGCCAGAGGUGGUACCAGUCACAGGGGUUCUUAAAGCCAGAGAGAAUUUAUUUUGAGAAUCCCAUCAUAUAGCAAAUACCACUCUGCAGUAGUUUUU